CCGCCUGGGGAGUACGAUCGCAAGAUUAAAACUCAAAGGAAUUGACGGGGCCCCGCACAAGCAACGGAGCAUGCGGCUUAAUUCGACGCAACGCGAAGAACCUUACCAAGGCUUGACAUGUACAGGAAUAUGGCAGAGAUGUCAUAGCCGCAAGGUCUGUAUACAGGUGGUGCAUGGUUGUCGUCAGCUCGUGUCGUGAGAUGUUGGGUUAAGUCCCGCAACGAGCGCAACCCUCGUUCUGUGUUGCCAGCAUUAAGUUGGGGACUCACAGGAGACUGCCGGGGUUAACUCGGAGGAAGGUGGGGAUGACGUCAAAUCAUCAUGCCCCUUAUGUCUUGGGCUGCACGCAUGCUACAAUGGCUGGUACAAACGGCUGCGAUACCGCAAGGUGGAGCGAAUCCGAUAAAGCCAGUCUCAGUUCGGAUUGGGGUCUGCGACUCGACCCCAUGAAGUCGGAGUUGCUAGUAAUCGUAGAUCAGCAACGCUACGGUGAAUACGUUCCCGGGGCUUGUACACACCGCCCGUCACAUCACGAAAGUCGGUAACACCCAAAGUCAGUGCCC
This 563-nucleotide ribosomal RNA is filed under the name uncultured Actinomycetes bacterium. Its description in RNAcentral is "bacterial SSU rRNA". It matches the Rfam family "Bacterial small subunit ribosomal RNA", at positions 869 to 1435 of the family's 1533-position model. The record is from RNAcentral. Lineage: Bacteria; Bacillati; Actinomycetota; Actinomycetes.